RNAcentral lists this non-coding RNA (45 nucleotides) under Schistosoma margrebowiei. The record is from RNAcentral. Lineage: Eukaryota; Metazoa; Platyhelminthes; Trematoda; Strigeidida; Schistosomatidae.
AUCCAGCUGACGAGUCCCGAGUAGGGUGAAACACGCGUUCUGGAU